UAUUUAUCACAAUGAGGUUUGAGUACCUAUGUAAGAAACCUAUAUGGUGUUCCCUCAUAUUGUUGUUUUGAUUCUUCACAAUGAAAUCCAGCUUAGAACUGGCUAGAGAAAAGACGUGCACACAGGGAGGGGGAAUAUGUGAAGAGAAGUGGCUCCUGUGAUAAUGAAGGAUGGAAAUAAAUUACUCCAGUGGUUCUCUAGCCUGGAUGCACGGUAGAGUCAAGACUGGAAGAGUACGACUGGGAAUCAGAGAAUGUCCCCUAGGAAGCUAUUACAAUAAUCUAGGUGAGAGCUAAGGUGGCUUGAACCAGGGGAGGGAUGGAAGAGACGAAGAAAAAGGGAGAAAUUCGAAAAGCACCAGGAGGAUGAAAGAACCUCCCCAGCAGGUAGAUGAGAUAUUGGGAAUGAGAGAGGCAGAAAUGUCCACCCCGAGAUUCUGGAGCUACUAAGACAGGGACCACUGGAAGAAAAGAGUAGCUGCGUUGGCUACAGUAUGACUUUGGGUCUAAACAAUUUGAGUUCAAGAUGACUUUGAAUCGUGCAAGUAAAAAUGUCAAGGAGGCUAUUGGUUAUAUGAAUCUGGAGCUCAAGAGGAUUGCAAAGUUGGAAUAUGUCAUCAAAUGCUGUUGAAAAACCAACAAAGAUUGAAUAAAAAUAUCCAAUUUGGCAACGUGGAGGUAAUUGCUGACCUUAAAUAAUGGCUUUUUUUUUCCAUUACAUAAUGGGGAUUAAUACUAAAUUGGAAAAAUAAUUGAUUAUGGGAUGGGGCAGGAUAAAGGAAUGGAAACAAGUAAAGAAAACCCUUUCAAAAUGCUAGGAAGAAAAGAAAAGUGCAGUAACUAGUUGGGACUUGGUGUAGAGAGAAUUUCUGGCUCUUGAUUUAAUGGAGAGCUUAAAAACUUGAUUAGAAAGAUAUACUUGUGAGGAAGAUGUUUACUACGUAAGAAAAUAAAGCAUAAUCAAUAGCACAAUAUUUCUGAGUAUGUAAGUAAAUGAAUUAGCCCUAAGAAGAGGAGAGAAAGACCUGUAUUGAGACCAAGAGAGGAGGAGGAGGAUAGAUUGGGUUCAGAUGUAGGUUUCUAUCACAUUAGCUACCCCUUGCUCAUCCGGCCCAAUUAGUCUCAUGUCAUCGAACUAGUGAAUUCAUGUGAAGUUCCGUGGGCUACCCAAACUAUCCAGAUCUCUUCAUACCCUAUUAUGAGAAUAGAAAAAUUAGUUAGCAUAGCCUUAGGUAGAGCAAACCUGUUAAUAAAUAUUUUUCUCUAUUCCAUGUAAACAUGAACUAUUUUUUAUCCUUUUUUCUAAUCAAAAGAUUAAAAAAUCAUUCAACAAUUUAAUGCCCCACAUAGCUGAGGCUGUAUAUUUGGCACAAUAUCUGCAACUGGGGUUACUACAUAGUUGAGCUUGCAGUCAUCUACAGUUAUUCUUCAUGAUUCAUUAGUAUCUGUGGGUUGGGGCAGACUGGC
Molecule: long non-coding RNA, 1466 nt
Filed under: Callithrix jacchus (white-tufted-ear marmoset)
Lineage: Eukaryota; Metazoa; Chordata; Mammalia; Primates; Cebidae
Description: lncRNA (ENSCJAG00000080234.1)
Source: RNAcentral